RNAcentral lists this ribosomal RNA (252 nucleotides) under uncultured bacterium. Its description in RNAcentral is "partial 16S ribosomal RNA". It matches the Rfam family "Bacterial small subunit ribosomal RNA", at positions 524 to 776 of the family's 1533-position model. The record is from RNAcentral.
UACGGAGGGUGCAAGCGUUAUCCGGAUUCACUGGGUUUAAAGGGUGCGUAGGUGGAAUGGUAAGUCAGUGGUGAAAUCUCCAAGCUUAACUUGGAACUGCCGUUAAUACUAUCAUUCUUGAAUAUCGUGGAGGUAAGCGGAAUAUGUCAUGUAGCGGUGAAAUGCUUAGAUAUGACAUAGAACACCGAUUGCGAAGGCAGCUUGCUACACGAUCAUUGACACUGAGGCACGAAAGCGUGGGGAUCAAACAGG